AUUGAACGCUGGCGGCAUGCUUUAUACAUGCAAGUCGUGCGGCAGCGCGGGGGCAACUCUGGCGGCGAGCGGCGAACGGGUGAGUAAUACAUAGGAACGUAUCCUGAAAUGGGGGAUAGCUCGGCGAAAGCCGGAUUAAUACCGCAUACGCUCCACGGAGGAAAGCCGGGGACCGCAAGGCCUGGCGUUAAUAGAUGAGCCCAAGUCGGAUUAGCUAGUUGGUAGGGUAAGGCCUACCAAGGCGACGAUCCGUAACUGGUCUGAGAGGACGACCAGUCACACCGGAACUGAGACACGGUCCGGACUCCUACGGGAGGCAGCAGUGGGGAAUAUUGGACAAUGGGCGAAAGCCUGAUCCAGCGACGCCGCGUGGGUGAAGAAGGCCUGCGGGUUGUAAAGCCCUUUCAGUGGGGAAGAAAAGCCUCGACCUAACACGUCGGGGUCUUGACGUAACCCAUAGAAGAAGCACGGCUAACUCUGUGCCAGCCGCCGCCGUAAC
RNAcentral lists this ribosomal RNA (499 nucleotides) under uncultured bacterium. RNAcentral's name for it is "partial 16S ribosomal RNA". It matches the Rfam family "Bacterial small subunit ribosomal RNA", at positions 29 to 524 of the family's 1533-position model. The record is from RNAcentral.